AACGAACGCUGGCGGCGUGCUUAACACAUGCAAGUCGAACGCGAAAGGGACUUCGGUACCUGAGUAAAGUGGCGCACGGGUGAGUAACGCGUAGAUAACCUGUCUUCAUGUCUGGAAUAAUACGCCGAAAGGGGUACUAAUACCGGAUAUUCUUGCUUUUCAUAAGUUAUGCAAGCAAAGGUGGCCUCUGCAUAUGCUACUGCAUGAAGAGGGGUCUGCGUACCAUUAGCUAGUAGGUGGGGUAAUGGCCUACCUAGGCGACGAUGGUUAGCGGGUCUGAGAGGAUGAUCCGCCACACUGGCACUGGAACACGGGCCAGACUCCUACGGGAGGCAGCAGUGAGGAAUAUUGCGCAAUGGGGGAAACCCUGACGCAGCGACGCCGCGUGAGUGAGGAAAGGCCUUCGGGUCGUAAAGCUCUGUCAAGAGGAAAGAAGUGUACAAUGGCUAAUACCUGUUGUAUUUGACGGUACCUCUAAAGGAAGCACCGGCUAACUCCGUGCCAGCAGCAGC
This 512-nucleotide ribosomal RNA is filed under the name uncultured bacterium. Its description in RNAcentral is "bacterial SSU rRNA". It matches the Rfam family "Bacterial small subunit ribosomal RNA", at positions 29 to 518 of the family's 1533-position model. The record is from RNAcentral.